UACGUAGGGGGCAAGCGUUGUCCGGAUUUAUUGGGCGUAAAGAGCGUGUAGGCGGCCUGACAGGUCUGCUGUGAAAACUCGGGGCUCAACCUCGAGAUGUCGGCGGAAACCGUCUGGCUAGAGUCCGGAAGAGGAGAGUGGAAUUCCUGGUGUAGCGGUGAAAUGCGCAGAUAUCAGGAAGAACACCUAUGGCGAAGGCAGCUCUCUGGGACGGUACUGACGCUGAGACACGAAAGCCAGGGGAGCGAACGGG
This 253-nucleotide ribosomal RNA is filed under the name uncultured bacterium. RNAcentral's name for it is "partial 16S ribosomal RNA". It matches the Rfam family "Bacterial small subunit ribosomal RNA", at positions 524 to 776 of the family's 1533-position model. The record is from RNAcentral.